AAAACAGCUGGGACUCACAUGAUUUAAAACUUAGAAUCAUCACCUCUACAAUAUUACAAUCCACAUCUAAGAAGUCCUAAUCACAGAAGCACAUUAUACAAUAUCCUAGCUUAGCAACCAAAUUCACCUAGUCAACAACUCAACAGAUCCUGUCUGACAAUCCCCUCUACUAACCUCAUGUCUUGCAUAAAAUAAAAGUGCAGGCCUUACCUUGGGAGUAUCGAUCAAGGAACACAUGGACUCAACUCAAGCAAGUAGGUAGUUUCAUCUGAUUCCUUUCUUCUCUCUACUCUCUUCUCUGAAUCUCUUUAUUAGUUUCAAUCCCAAUGAAUUUCGAUGUUGAUUAGACAUCUAGUUCAUCUUAUUGACAUCAUGCUCUUUUCUUCUUCUUUUUUUUUCUUUUUUUCUUUUCUUUUGACAAAGUGUAGCGAAUAAUGGGGUCAUAGGAGACACUCCUACCCCUCGUUUCCACAAUGUGUGAUCAUUCCCUUCAGACUUAGAAUAAUGGAGUCACAUGAGACACUCCUACCACCUCUGCCUCUUCCAGGAAAUCAUUUCAAUCUUUUCUUUAUAUCUUGAGAUGCCGAAGAGAGAGAAGGAAGGGAACCAGCAACACAUAUGAGCGUUUACCUUUCAGACUUGCAGGAGGAUUCCGAUCCCUUGUAUACCAAGCCCCAAGACAAGCAAAUCAAGUCAAAUUAGGUUGGAGGUCAGCUUUGGUUCCUUCAAACAUUCUCAGCAAUUGCAAACAUAGUUGACAGGUUGAUCCACUUUAGUAUCUUUAGUACUAUAUGCAAUCAGUAAGUCUAGAAUGGUGCUAAAGAGUGGUUAGAUAACAAGCAUGAAUCUAAUAAGUUCAUUAUCCCUUUCUUGACUCAAUAAAAACAGUUUUGAAAACAUUUUAUAAAACUCAAUAGAUAAGCAAACAUCAGUAAACAUCCCCCCAGACUUAAAUUACACUGUCCCCAGUGUAUAUUUAGUCAGAGUUAUGGUUAGAAAAUAAAUAAUAAGUAGACAAUUUAACAAGUAAGAACGAUAACCUGCUCGACAUCAGUGUCGAUCGACAUAAUGAAUAGACAAUCGACCGAUGUUGAUGAAGUGCUGUCGAUUGAUAGUGACAUGGUCUCAUCGGUCGAUGGCUAGAGCAAUCAUUCGACACAAUGAAGAGACAAUCGAUUAUUGGAUAUGGAGUGCUGUCGAUCGAUAUCGAGCUGGUGUCAUCGGUCGAUGUGCUGAGCAAUCGUCUACUCGGAUCUGUUCUUUUUUUUUUUUUUUUUUCAUAACUAAAACACAAUAUCAGUAGAACCUCCCCCAGACUUAAAUAACACUAUAGUGGUGUUAUCCAGUCGGAGAUUGGUGUAAAUAAAUCAUAAGUACUCAAUUUAAAAAGUUAGAACGAUAUGUCAUCGGUCGUGGCAGAUGUAGCAAUGUCGAUCGAUAUCGACUUGUUCUCGCCGGUCGAUAUCAUGGCAAUCGUUUACUUGGAUCCAUAUUCUAAACAUCUAACUAAAACCUAAUAAUAAUGUAACCUCGCCCAGGCUUAAAUAACAU
RNAcentral lists this long non-coding RNA (1551 nucleotides) under Brassica rapa (field mustard). RNAcentral's name for it is "long non-coding RNA (BRAP_LNC007685)". The record is from RNAcentral. Lineage: Eukaryota; Viridiplantae; Streptophyta; Magnoliopsida; Brassicales; Brassicaceae.